GCUGAACAGUCUGCUGAAUUUCGGUGAAUAUUUAACGGUGGGGUUACUGGAAUAAUGUUGAAGUUAUCAAUCCUGCUUGGAUGCAUCCUGAGCCUCACUUUGGCUUAUCCUAUUGAAGAUGGCCAUAAGCGGCUUGUGCGCUCAGACUCUAAUGAGUCCUAUAUGGACGUCUACUCUGAGUUGGCUAACACGUUGAUCAAACAACAGUUACAACAAUAUCUGCAGCAACUCCUACUUCAGCUGCUCCGGCCUCCUGCUCCUGCUCCUGCUCCUGCUCCUGCUCCUGCUCCAG
Molecule: long non-coding RNA, 292 nt
Organism: Myripristis murdjan (pinecone soldierfish)
Lineage: Eukaryota; Metazoa; Chordata; Actinopteri; Holocentriformes; Holocentridae
Exons: 4
Source: RefSeq, a predicted model, not a curated record